GGGUUGUGAGGUUAAGCGACUAAGCGUACACGGUGGAUGCCCUGGCAGUCAGAGGCGAUGAAGGACGUGCUAAUCUGCGAUAAGCGCCGGUAAGGUGAUAUGAACCGUUAUAACCGGCGAUUUCCGAAUGGGGAAACCCAGUGUGACUCGUCACACUAUCAUUAACUGAAUCCAUAGGUUAAUGAGGCGAACCGGGGGAACUGAAACAUCUAAGUACCCCGAGGAAAAGAAAUCAACCGAGAUUCCCCCAGUAGCGGCGAGCGAACGGGGAGGAGCCCAGAGCCUGAAUCAGCAUGUGUGUUAGUGGAAGCGUCUGGAAAGGCGCGCGAUACAGGGUGACAGCCCCGUACACAAAAGCGCAUGUGCUGUGAGCUCGAUGAGUAGGGCGGGACACGUGGUAUCCUGUCUGAAUAUGGGGGGACCAUCCUCCAAGGCUAAAUACUCCUGACUGACCGAUAGUGAACCAGUACCGUGAGGGAAAGGCGAAAAGAACCCCGGCGAGGGGAGUGAAAAAGAACCUGAAACCGUGUACGUACAAGCAGUGGGAGCACCCUUCGGGGUGUGACUGCGUACCUUUUGUAUAAUGGGUCAGCGACUUAUAUUCUGUAGCAAGGUUAACCGUAUAGGGGAGCCGGAGGGAAACCGAGUCUUAAUUGGGCGUUAAGUUGCAGGGUAUAGACCCGAAACCCGGUGAUCUAGCCAUGGGCAGGUUGAAGGUUGGGUAACACUAACUGGAGGACCGAACCGACUAAUGUUGAAAAAUUAGCGGAUGACCUGUGGCUGGGGGUGAAAGGCCAAUCAAACCGGGAGAUAGCUGGUUCUCCCCGAAAGCUAUUUAGGUAGCGCCUCGUGAAUUCAUCUCCGGGGGUAGAGCACUGUUUCGGCUAGGGGGCCAUCCCGGCUUACCAACCCGAUGCAAACUGCGAAUACCGGAGAAUGUUAUCACGGGAGACACACGGCGGGUGCUAACGUCCGUCGUGAAGAGGGAAACAACCCAGACCGCCAGCUAAGGUCCCAAAGUCAUGGUUAAGUGGGAAACGAUGUGGGAAGGCCCAGACAGCCAGGAUGUUGGCUUAGAAGCAGCCAUCAUUUAAAGAAAGCGUAAUAGCUCACUGGUCGAGUCGGCCUGCGCGGAAGAUGUAACGGGGCUAAACCAUGCACCGAAGCUGCGGCAGCGAACGUAUCACCCAAGACAACUUUACGGAGUUGACGAUUGACGGAGCGAAGCGACGUCAAAGCGUUCAUUAAAGUCGAGUUGGCUUAGGGAUACGUUCGUUGGGUAGGGGAGCGUUCUGUAAGCCUGUGAAGGUGUGUCGUGAGGCAUGCUGGAGGUAUCAGAAGUGCGAAUGCUGACAUAAGUAACGAUAAAGCGGGUGAAAAGCCCGCUCGCCGGAAGACCAAGGGUUCCUGUCCAACGUUAAUCGGGGCAGGGUGAGUCGACCCCUAAGGCGAGGCCGAAAGGCGUAGUCGAUGGGAAACGGGUUAAUAUUCCCGUACUUGGUGUUACUGCGAAGGGGGGACGGAGAAGGCUAUGUUGGCCGGGCGACGGUUGUCCCGGUUUAAGCGUGUAGGUGUGUGUUCCAGGUAAAUCCGGUU
Molecule: ribosomal RNA, 1596 nt
Filed under: Salmonella enterica
Lineage: Bacteria; Pseudomonadati; Pseudomonadota; Gammaproteobacteria; Enterobacterales; Enterobacteriaceae
Description: partial 23S ribosomal RNA
Rfam family: Bacterial large subunit ribosomal RNA
Source: RNAcentral